This 465-nucleotide ribosomal RNA is filed under the name Vreelandella stevensii. RNAcentral describes it as "partial 16S ribosomal RNA". It matches the Rfam family "Bacterial small subunit ribosomal RNA", at positions 338 to 795 of the family's 1533-position model. Lineage: Bacteria; Pseudomonadati; Pseudomonadota; Gammaproteobacteria; Oceanospirillales; Halomonadaceae. The record is from RNAcentral.
CCUACGGGGUGCUGCAGUGGGGAAUAUUGGACAAUGGGCGAAAGCCUGAUCCAGCCAUGCCGCGUGUGUGAAGAAGGCCUUCGGGUUGUAAAGCACUUUCAGUGGGGAAGAAAGCCUUGGGGCUAAUAUCCUCGAGGAAGGACAUCACCCACAGAAGAAGCACCGGCUAACUCCGUGCCAGCAGCCGCGGUAAUACGGAGGGUGCGAGCGUUAAUCGGAAUUACUGGGCGUAAAGCGCGCGUAGGCGGUCUGAUAAGCCGGUUGUGAAAGCCCCGGGCUCAACCUGGGAACGGCAUCCGGAACUGUCAGGCUAGAGUGCAGGAGAGGAAGGUAGAAUUCCCGGUGUAGCGGUGAAAUGCGUAGAGAUCGGGAGGAAUACCAGUGGCGAAGGCGGCCUUCUGGACUGACACUGACGCUGAGGUGCGAAAGCGUGGGUAGCAAACAGGAUUAGAUACCCUAGUAGUC